Molecule: long non-coding RNA, 431 nt
Filed under: Heterocephalus glaber (naked mole-rat)
Lineage: Eukaryota; Metazoa; Chordata; Mammalia; Rodentia; Bathyergidae
Description: lncRNA (ENSHGLG00000032264.1)
Source: RNAcentral
AUGAAGUUUAAAGUAAGACAGACAAAAUAAAGUUUGAGGAAACUAUUUUUUAAAUUGUACAUUUAUCAUGACAGUUUGGGGGUUAAUCUCUGGAACCAGCACAAGGAUGAAUGAGUGAUUUCCUGGGGAGUACAGCACCGAGGUAAUCACCACCGAGGAAAGCGAAAGCAAAAGACGGAGUCAUGGGUUUCAGCCAUAGUCUCGGUUUCACUGGAGCUGUGUCAAGCAGCGAGAUUGUGACCGUGGCCUGUGCCAGCAAGAGAGCCGGAAAGCAGAGGAAAACACUGAACUGCAUUGCUCUAAUAAAACUGUUUUGGAUAAGGUUGGACUACAGUUAAUUUUGACCCUAUCAGUGAAAAAUGUUAAGUAAAUUAUGAGGGUAAACAAGAUUUAUUGUGUUAGAGAACAUAUUCUUUUACAUGAUUAUGGAA